GCGCCGGUGGUGGAAUUGGUAGACACAGCGGACUUGGGUUCCGCCGCCCCGUCUCCUGCCAGAGACUCCACGGGGCAUUGCGGGUUCGAAUCCCGCCCGGCGCACCA
This 107-nucleotide transfer RNA is filed under the name Rhodospirillaceae bacterium. RNAcentral's name for it is "tRNA-Pro". It matches the Rfam family "tRNA". From Rfam's summary of the family: Transfer RNA (tRNA) molecules are approximately 80 nucleotides in length. Their secondary structure includes four short double-helical elements and three loops (D, anti-codon, and T loops). Lineage: Bacteria; Pseudomonadati; Pseudomonadota; Alphaproteobacteria; Rhodospirillales; Rhodospirillaceae. The record is from RNAcentral.